UCCGUCGUUCACUUCCCUCGGUAUUGCCCUCGCCCAAGUCCUUCUUUGCUACCUAAAGGUCGCUCACAAGACCUCUCGUAGCAAAGAAGCACUGUCGUUAGGGUUUCACCGAUAUGAGCCGGUGUUUCCUCAGGGGAUUGCUCCCCUGGGGGCCAAUCGUCGAUUAGCCAUGCAGCACCUGUGCUGGCCCCUUACGGACACGGGCUUUCACCCGCUUUAACCAGCAUGUCAAGCCCAGGUAAGGUUCUUCGCGUUGCAUCGAAUUAAGCCACAUGCUCCGCCGCUUGUGCGGGCCCCCGUCAAUUCCUUUGAGUUUUAGCCUUGCGGCCGUACUCCCCAGGCGGAGUGCUUAAUGCGUUAGCUGCGGCACAGAGCGGGUUGAAGACCGCCCCACACCUAG
Molecule: unclassified non-coding RNA, 400 nt
Filed under: uncultured Actinomycetes bacterium
Lineage: Bacteria; Bacillati; Actinomycetota; Actinomycetes
Description: uncultured actinobacterium contains 16S-23S intergenic spacer region
Source: RNAcentral